Molecule: ribosomal RNA, 386 nt
Filed under: uncultured bacterium
Lineage: Bacteria
Description: bacterial SSU rRNA
Rfam family: Bacterial small subunit ribosomal RNA
Source: RNAcentral
AUUGAACGCUGGCGGAAUGCUUUACACAUGCAAGUCGAGCGGCAGCGCGGGGGCAACCCUGGCGGCGAGCGGCGAACGGGUGAGUAACAUAUCGGAACGUACCCAGUCGUGGGGGAUAACUAUCCGAAAGGAUAGCUAAUACCGCAUACGUCCUGAGGGAGAAAGCGGGGGAUCGCAAGACCUCGCGCGAUUGGAGCGGCCGAUAUCGGAUUAGCUAGUUGGUGGGGUAAAGGCUCACCAAGGCGACGAUCCGUAGCGGGUCUGAGAGGACGACCCGCCACACUGGAACUGAGACACGGUCCAGACUCCUACGGGAGGCAGCAGUGGGGAAUUUUGGACAAUGGGCGCAAGCCUGAUCCAGCAAUGCCGCGUGCAGGAUGAAGGCC